GGAUUAUGGCUCAGUGGUAGAGCACUCAUCUAGCAUGUGCGAGGCCCUGGGUUCAAUCCUCAGCACCA
Molecule: transfer RNA, 68 nt
Filed under: Marmota monax (woodchuck)
Lineage: Eukaryota; Metazoa; Chordata; Mammalia; Rodentia; Sciuridae
Description: tRNA.Ala
Source: RNAcentral